Molecule: non-coding RNA, 25 nt
Filed under: Mus musculus (house mouse)
Lineage: Eukaryota; Metazoa; Chordata; Mammalia; Rodentia; Muridae
Source: RNAcentral
UCAGGAGCAAAAGAGGAAGAGCGCA